RNAcentral lists this ribosomal RNA (265 nucleotides) under uncultured bacterium. RNAcentral's name for it is "partial 16S ribosomal RNA". It matches the Rfam family "Bacterial small subunit ribosomal RNA", at positions 793 to 1055 of the family's 1533-position model. The record is from RNAcentral.
GUCCACGCUGUAAACGAUGAGUGUUAGGUGUUGGGGUCGCAAGAUCUCAGUGCCGCAGCUAACGCAUUAAACACUCCGCCUGGGAAGUAAGAUCGCAAGAUUAAAACUCAAAGGAAUUGACGGGGACCUGCACAAGUGGUGGAACAUGCGGUUUAAUUCGAUGUCACGCGAAAACCUUACCAACUCUUGACAUGGUGGUCGCGAGGUACAGAAAUGUACUUUUUCAGUUCGGCUGGACCACACACAGGUGUUGCAUGGCCGUCGU